Molecule: ribosomal RNA, 450 nt
Filed under: uncultured bacterium
Lineage: Bacteria
Description: partial 16S ribosomal RNA
Rfam family: Bacterial small subunit ribosomal RNA
Source: RNAcentral
GUGGGGAAUAUUGGACAAUGGGCGAAAGCCUGAUCCAGCCAUGCCGCGUGUGUGAAGAAGGUCUUCGGAUUGUAAAGCACUUUAAGUUGGGAGGAAGGGUAGUAACCUAAUACGUUGCUACUUUGACGUUACCGACAGAAUAAGCACCGGCUAACUUCGUGCCAGCAGCCGCGGUAAUACGAAGGGUGCAAGCGUUAAUCGGAAUUACUGGGCGUAAAGCGCGCGUAGGUGGUUCAGUAAGUUGGAAGUGAAAUCCCCGGGCUCAACCUGGGAACUGCUUUCAAAACUGCUGAGCUAGAGUACGGUAGAGGGUGGUGGAAUUUCCUGUGUAGCGGUGAAAUGCGUAGAUAUACGAAGGAACACCAGUGGCGAAGGCGACUACCUGGACUGAUACUGACACUGAGGUGCGAAAGCGUGGGGAGCAAACAGGAUUAGAAACCCUUGUAGUCC